GACGAACGCUGGCGGCGUGCUUAACACAUGCAAGUCGAACGAGAGCGUAGAGAAAGCUUGCUUUUUCUACAAUCUAGUGGCAAACGGGUGAGUAACGCGUAAACAACCUGCCCUACGGAUGGGGACAACAGCUGGAAACGGCUGCUAAUACCGAAUACGUUCCGAAAGUCGCAUGACUAUCGGAAGAAAGGAUGGCCUCUAUUUAUAAGCUAUCGCCGGAGGAGGGGUUUGCGUCUGAUUAGCUAGUUGGAGGGGUAACGGCCCACCAAGGCGACGAUCAGUAGCCGGUCUGAGAGGAUGAACGGCCACAUUGGAACUGAGACACGGUCCAGACUCCUACGGGAGGCAGCAGUGGGGAAUCUUCCGCAAUGGGCGAAAGCCUGACGGAGCAACGCCGCGUGAGUGAAGACGGCCUUCGGGUUGUAAAGCUCUGUUAUACGGGACGAAUAAUCUUGUGGUUAAUACCCAUGAGAAGUGACGGUACCGUAAGAGAAAGCCACGGCUAACUACGU
Molecule: ribosomal RNA, 512 nt
Filed under: uncultured bacterium
Lineage: Bacteria
Description: partial 16S ribosomal RNA
Rfam family: Bacterial small subunit ribosomal RNA
Source: RNAcentral